This 412-nucleotide ribosomal RNA is filed under the name Chiasmocleis hudsoni group sp. ABGD cluster 19. RNAcentral describes it as "partial large subunit ribosomal RNA". It matches the Rfam family "Bacterial large subunit ribosomal RNA", at positions 1830 to 2457 of the family's 2925-position model. The record is from RNAcentral. Lineage: Eukaryota; Metazoa; Chordata; Amphibia; Anura; Microhylidae.
UCUGAAAAGAUAUAGAAGGUCCAGCCUGCCCAGUGACAAAGUUAAACGGCCGCGGUACCCUAACCGUGCGAAGGUAGCGCAAUCACUUGUUCUUUAAAUGAGGACUAGUAUGAACGGCAUCACGAGGAUUAUACUGUCUCCCCCCUUUAAUCAGUGAAACUGAUCCCCCCGUGAAGAAGCGGGGAUAGACCUAUAAGACGAGAAGACCCUAUGGAGCUUUAAACUAACACCACCUGUCUAUAAACACUUCAUAACAAACAGACAAACCUCCGUGCUAGUUUUUGGUUGGGGUGACCGCGGAGCAAAAUAAAACCUCCACGAUGAAAAGACUUUCCCUCUUAAUCCAAGAGCAACAUCUCAAAGAAUUGGCAAACCAACACAACUGAUCCAAAUAAUACUUUGAUCAACGAAC